CCAGACUCCUACGGGAGGCAGCAGUGGGGAAUAUUGCACAAUGGGGGAAACCCUGAUGCAGCGACGCCGCGUGAAGGAAGAGGUAUUUCGGUAUGUAAACUUCUAUCAGCAGGGAAGAAAAUGACGGUACCUGACUAAGAAGCCCCGGCUAACUACGUGCCAGCAGCCGCGGUAAUACGUAGGGGGCAAGCGUUAUCCGGAUUUACUGGGUGUAAAGGGAGCGUAGGCGGUUUAGCAAGUCAGAAGUGAAAGCCCGGGGCUCAACUCCGGGACUGCUCUGGAAACUGUCCGGCUGGAGUGCAGGAGAGGUAAGUGGAAUUCCUAGUGUAGCGGUGAAAUGCGUAGAUAUUAGGAGGAACACCAGUGGCGAAGGCGGCUUACUGGACUGUAACUGACGUUGAGGCUCGAAAGCGUGGGGAGCAAACAGGAUUAGAUACCCGGGUA
Molecule: ribosomal RNA, 444 nt
Filed under: uncultured bacterium
Lineage: Bacteria
Description: bacterial SSU rRNA
Rfam family: Bacterial small subunit ribosomal RNA
Source: RNAcentral